Molecule: transfer RNA, 76 nt
Filed under: Phlegmariurus squarrosus
Lineage: Eukaryota; Viridiplantae; Streptophyta; Lycopodiopsida; Lycopodiales; Lycopodiaceae
Also listed under: 1 other name
Description: tRNA-Leu
Source: RNAcentral
GGGGGUAUGGCGAAAUCGGUAGACGCUGCGGACUUGAUAGGGGUAGGCAAUCCUGAGCCAAAUCCUGUUUAGAAAA